AUAACCGGCGGAACGGGUGCGUAACACGUGAACAACCUGCCCUCGGUGUGGGGGAGUAGCCGGGCUAACGCCCGGGUAAUACCGCAUACGUUCUCUUUGGGGAGUCCCGAGGAGAGGAAAGCUCCGGCGCACGGGGAGGGGUUCGCGGCCUAUCAGCUAGUUGGGGGGGUAACGGCCUCCCAAGGCGACGACGGGUAGCUGGUCUGAGAGGACGAUCAGCCACACUGGGACUGAGACACGGCCCAG
Molecule: ribosomal RNA, 246 nt
Filed under: uncultured bacterium
Lineage: Bacteria
Description: partial 16S ribosomal RNA
Rfam family: Bacterial small subunit ribosomal RNA
Source: RNAcentral